This is an RNA transcript of Diorhabda carinulata, 3097 nucleotides long. It is a transcript of the gene named prominin-1-A-like, with no coding region annotated. Lineage: Eukaryota; Metazoa; Arthropoda; Insecta; Coleoptera; Chrysomelidae. The record is from RefSeq and is a predicted model, not a curated record. The transcript has 17 exons.
GCGUACGGAAAAUUGAAUUUAAUGUAAUUAAAACUCCAAUUACAGGGUUUUAUCUUACUUUUUGCAGUGAGUAAAUGUCUGUUAGACCGAUUAUAUGAUAUAGACAUGUGUUUGUAAUCAAAAAUAUGGAAAAUAAUAUAGUAUUUAAUCAGUUUUAAAACGUAUAUGAUAAAGUGUAUUUUGAAAAUAUUUACGACCAGGUAUAGAAUAGUAGAAAUGGCGACCGUCGAGGAAGAUAAUUUUGAUGGUUUAAUGCCUAAUUAUACUGAUUAUAUCGAUAAUCACAAUUAUUUGUCGGGGAGUGUCACUUUUAGUCCCGUGGGAAUGGCGGGAAUUUAUCAAUUAACUACAGACUUUAUAAACAGUAUAUUUCCAGAAAAUAUAAUCAAAGAAGGAACUUUUGUUUGGAAAAAGGAUAUCCAAAACACAUAUUAUCUUGAACUUAAAGAUGGGUUAACUUACAAAGAUGUUAUAGAAGAUUAUUGGUGUUUUAUAUAUAUACUGGCGUUUAUAUUAGCUAUAGCUAUAUUUCUACCUAUAGUCGGUCUAAUUGUAUGUUGUUGUCGCUGUUGUGGAAAUUGCGGUGGCAAAGCCAGACCGAGUAACAAAAGAAAAGAACUUGGAGCGAAGAUUAUCCUUGCAGUUUUAUUAACUAUAUGUUUAGGAUUCUUCGUAUUCGGAAUGGUGGGUUCUUUUGCGAGUAAUCAACAAUUACGAAAAGGUACCAAUGAAUUUCCUGAAAACGGAAGAAAAGUUUAUGCGGAUUCACAAUCUUUCCUCUAUAGCAUAAAAGAUCAAGCAGAACAUCUUCUUAAAAAUAAUUACGAAGAAUUUGGUGAUGCAUUCAAAGAUUUCAUACAAGAUUCUGGAAAAAAUAUUAUAGAACAGUUAUCGGUAUGGGCAAACGCAAGUUCUAUAUUGAGGAUACUUAAUUUCGCCGAAACUUUACCAGAAUUAGAAAAUAAUUUGGAAAAUUUGAGUAACGUUACAUCGAAUUUGAUAACGAGAGAGACUGAUUUGGUAGAAGGAAUGGAGGAGAUUAAAAAAAAUUUAAUAGAAACGUUAAACAAAUGUUCCGAAGAAUUUAAACAGGAAUGUAUGGAAGUAGAAGAAGCUAUCAGUAGUUUGGCGAUCAAUGUCGAUUUUAACAAAUUACCGGAUGUUUCACAAGCACUACAAUUAAUCGGAGAGUUAGAUAUAGAGAAUAUCAUAAACGUCGCUGAGAACGGGAAGGAAGUGUUGGAAAAUGCGGAAAAAAAUAUCAAUGACACAAUAUCUGAUGUUCUACAGCAGAUAUCCGAAAAAAUUGACGAAGCAGGUACCGAUAUAAACAACAACUUGAAUACUUUGGACGAUAUCGCAGAAAAUUUAACCUCGCAAUUUCACCAAGUAAACGAAACAAUCGAAAAUGGUUACGGUUAUCUGUACGAGUACUACCCGUACUUUUAUUACUCUGGAGUCACGUUGUGUUGCGUUUUACUUUCGGCGACAGUUUUCUCGUUGCUCGGUCUGGUGUUCGGGGUAUUCGGAAGGAGACCCGAGCGAUCCGCCGGCGAUUGCUGCACGAAACGAAGCGGAAGUUUAUGUUUGAUGAGCGCAGCCGUCGCAAUAUUCGCGUUCUCGUUUUUUUGCGGUCCGAUCACCGUCGCGAUGAUGGUAUCGGGCGUCGCCGCCGACAGGGUAGUUUGCUACCCCCUCCGCGAUCCGGAACAUUCGACGCUCCUACACCUACUAGACGAUUAUCCGGGGAAAAUUCUCGGCGACGAUCUGAAUUAUACGGUCGGCGAGGGGCUGUUGAAAUGUUACGAUAACCGAAGCAUCUACAGCGUGUUGAAUUUGGAAAGUAAAUUCGAUGUAUCGCAGCUGGAUUCGAAGUUCGACGUAACGAAUUCGUUGGAAGAUAUCAGAGAGCAAAUUGGGAAUCGAUGGUCGACGUUUUUUCCCGAGGAUUUCGAAAUUUUGAACGAAACUUCCCAAGGGGUUUUGGAGGAACUAACGAAAAUCGAUCCCGAUGUCGACGUCGAUAGUUUUCGAACCGAGUUGAGUAAGAGCGUGGUUAACAUGGAUUUGAAAAGUGUCGUGACGUCUUUGGAGCUCUUGGUCAACGGAAUGUCUUCGCAAGACCCCCAAGUGGCAGAUGGUCUCGGAAAAAUCAUCGAAGAUAUCAAAACUUACGAGGAAACAAUUUUAGAACCGACGAUAGCUGAAGCGCGACAAGCACUCGAACUGGCCAUUAUCGUAGACGGUCAGAUCAAAAUGAAUUCUUCCAGUAUGUCUGCGGCUAUAACACAAUUCAUUCAGGACGUUGAAUUCGCCCAAAAUCAAUUGAAAAACUCCGAUAUAAGUAUAGAGGGAAUAAAUAAAUAUAUUGAUAAAGUAGAAGAAAUAAUUCGGGGUUAUUUGAGAAGGGUGAAUACUGUACUUACUGAGGAGCUAGGUCAGUGUGGUCCUCUAAACGUUGCGAUCCAUGCAAUGUUGAUUGCGGUUUGUGAUAAAAUAACGUUACCAUGGAAUAGCUUCUGGAUGUCGAUGAUGAUAUGUUUAGUAGCUUCCGUACCUAUGAUCAUUUUCUCGAUAUGGUUAUCAUCAUUAUAUAAAAGGUACAAACCCCGUGAACAAAAUAACGAAAGAUCCCGUUUACGAAACAGUAUUGGUAAAAGAUAUAAUGAUUAUUAUCCUGAGCAAGGUAAUGAUGAUACGAUACCCAUAGGUAUGAGUAACUAUUAUGGAGAGGUUUUUAAAAAAAACAAAAACGUGGAUUACUACCAAGGAGCUAGUGCUCCUAAGGCUCUCGAUGAUAGUAACUAUAGAUAUAAUGACAUGUCUCAAAGAUAUUAGAAGAAUGUUAAGAAUAUCAACAGUUGAUAGUGUGGCUUCGAAACAACGUCUCCAUUUUUAAAAAACAUAUUAGUUGGAACGCGUAUAAUGGAGAGAUUCCAAACUUUACAUACUGUUGUCAUUAGUACGUUAAAGUGUGAUACUAUUUAUUUAUUGUUGAAAAAAUGUUCAAAUUUUAUUAGUAUAAGGUGAUUGAAUAGUUGCAACAUAUAUAUUUUUUGUAUAAGUAUAUAUUAUUCAUUAAAUAAUUAUAAAUCUU